CAGUAGCCGCGGUAAUACGAAGGGGGCUAGCGUUGUUCGGAUUUACUGGGCGUAAAGCGCACGUAGGCGGAUCGAUCAGUCAGGGGUGAAAUCCCAGAGCUCAACUCUGGAACUGCCUUUGAUACUGUCGAUCUGGAGUAUGGAAGAGGUGAAUGGAAUUCCGAGUGUAGAGGUGAAAUUCGUAGAUAUUCGGAGGAACACCAGUGGCGAAGGCGGCUCACUGGUCCAUUACUGACGCUGAGGUGCGAAAGCGUGGGGAGCAAACAGGAUUAGAUACCCCGGUAGUCCCUGUCUCUUAUAC
Molecule: ribosomal RNA, 301 nt
Filed under: uncultured bacterium
Lineage: Bacteria
Description: partial 16S ribosomal RNA
Rfam family: Bacterial small subunit ribosomal RNA
Source: RNAcentral